GAAUAAUAAUAUUAUAUUAUAUUAUAAUCUUAUAAUUCAUAAUAUAUUACUAUAUAUUAUAAUAUAUUACUACAUAUUAUAUUAUAUUACUACUAUAUGGUUUGGGGUAUUUUAGGAGCAAAAUAAAAAAGUUAUUUUUUCGACUAAUGAAAAAUGACUUUUCCACCUUUUAGGUGGGUAAGAUUUUCCUCACAUUUUAUAAGUAAAUGGUAUCCAUGAAAAAACCCUAGAGAAGCAUGAAAAUAUGGAUAAGUUGUUAAUGGAAAGUUGACCAUAAUUUUUACCUACCAAAGAGUGGCCCUUAUUAGAGGAAGAGGUUGGGAAAGGAAUAUUAUGAUGUGACUGGUUCGACCCAUUUUAAAGUCUAAGUUCGAAAAAACUAUUCCUAAGCAGAAGAAUGGUACCAUAAGGAAACUUAAUGAUGCCUUCAUGAUGCCCUUUCAAAAGGGCGAGGCAGCAAAUCUUACUAGGGAUGGCAAUAGGUUGGGGGUAUAGAUUGGGUAGGCUAUUACACAUACUUGUCUUGCAAUUGAGAACCAUGUACCUAUACACCCCUUGUACCCACCUCAGGGUGGGGUAAGGCAGGAUAGGUUGAGUUAGAUGAGAUGGGUUAGAUAUGUCAUGUUGAGUAAAAUUAUAAUUUUUUUACAUAUAAAUCU
RNAcentral lists this long non-coding RNA (659 nucleotides) under Phoenix dactylifera (date palm). RNAcentral describes it as "long non-coding RNA (PDAC_LNC000911)". Lineage: Eukaryota; Viridiplantae; Streptophyta; Magnoliopsida; Arecales; Arecaceae. The record is from RNAcentral.